AACGAACGCUGGCGGCAUGCCUAACACAUGCAAGUCGAACGAGACCUUCGGGUCUAGUGGCGCACGGGUGCGUAACGCGUGGGAACCUGCCCUUAGGUUCGGAAUAACUCCACGACAGGGGUGCUAAUACCGGAUAAUGUCUUCGGACCAAAGAUUUAUCGCAUUUGGAUGGGCCCGCGUUGGAUUAGCUAGUUGGUAGGGUAAAAGCCUACCAAGGCGACGAUCCAUAGCUGGUCUGAGAGGAUGAUCAGCCACACUGGGACUGAGACACGGCCCAGACUCCUACGGGAGGCAGCAGAGGGGAAUAUUGGACAAUGGGCGAAAGCCUGAACCAGCAAUGCCGCGUGAGUGAUGAAGGCCUUAGGGUUGUAAAGCUCUUUUACCCGGGAUGAUAAUGACAGUACCGGGAGAAUAAGCUCCGGCUAACUCCGUG
Molecule: ribosomal RNA, 433 nt
Filed under: uncultured bacterium
Lineage: Bacteria
Description: partial 16S ribosomal RNA
Rfam family: Bacterial small subunit ribosomal RNA
Source: RNAcentral